RNAcentral lists this ribosomal RNA (778 nucleotides) under uncultured Neocallimastigales. RNAcentral describes it as "partial large subunit ribosomal RNA". It matches the Rfam family "Eukaryotic large subunit ribosomal RNA", at positions 26 to 647 of the family's 3401-position model. The record is from RNAcentral. Lineage: Eukaryota; Fungi; Neocallimastigomycota; Neocallimastigomycetes; Neocallimastigales.
CGUCUAUAUACGUAUAGCAUAUCAAUAAGCGGAGGAAAAGAAACUAACUAGGAUUCCCUCAGUAACGGCGAGUGAAGCGGGAAGAGCUCAAAUUUGAAAUCUUCAAGGUUCUACCUUGACGAAUUGUAGUUUAAAGAAGUGUUUUCUGUAGUGGAGUUUGGUAAAAGUUCUUUGGAAUAGGACAUCAUAGAGGGUGAGAAUCCCGUAUUUGGUCAUUCCUCCUAGCUUUGUGAUACACUUUCAACGAGUCGGAUUGUUUGGGAAUGCAGUCCAAAAUGGGUGGUAAAUUUCAUCUAAAGCUAAAUAUUGGCGAGAGACCGAUAGCGAACAAGUACCGUGAGGGAAAGAUGAAAAGAACUUUGAAAAGAGAGUUAAACAGUACGUGAAAUUGUCAAAAGGGAAGCGUUUGACACCAGUGUUGUUUUUCCGAAAAUCAAUUACGAAUGUUUUAUUUUUGAGGAGUUAUGACUUCAUCGGCUUGCUCCUUUCUUUAUGGAACUUUCUUAAUGCACUUUUCGGUUAACAAGUCAACAUCAAUUUCUUUUGUUGUAAAAGGGUAUGAGGAAGGUGGCUUUCUUUUCGGAGAAAGUGUUUAUAGCCUUGUAGCCUCUGCAAUCGGAGAGAUUGAGGUCUGCAGCGUAGACUCUUCGGGGUUAGAUACAGUUUGUGCUAAGUUAUAGCUUUUCAUAGACAACUUGUUGACUAUGUUUAGUCUUGUAGCUUACUCGCUUAUGGCUAUUUUACCUACGCUUAGGAUGUUGACGAGACUGUCGAUCUC